CCUACGGGAGGCAGCAGUGGGGAAUAUUGGACAAUGGGCGCAAGCCUGAUCCAGCCAUGCCGCGUGAGUGAUGAAGGCCUUAGGGUUGUAAAGCUCUUUCGUCAGGGAAGCGGUACCUGAAGAAGAAGCCCCGGCUAACUUCGUGCCAGCAGCCGCGGUAAUACGAAGGGGGCUAGCGUUGCUCGGAAUCACUGGGCGUAAAGCGCACGUAGGCGGCUUAUUAAGUCAGGGGUGAAAUCCUGGAGCUCAACUCCAGAACUGCCUUUGAUACUGAUGAGCUUGAGUUCGGGAGAGGUGAGUGGAACUGCGAGUGUAGAGGUGAAAUUCGUAGAUAUUCGCAAGAACACCAGUGGCGAAGGCGGCUCACUGGCCCGUCUGACGCUGAGGUGCGAAAGCGUGGGGAGCAAACAGGAUUAGAUACCCUUGUAGUC
Molecule: ribosomal RNA, 431 nt
Filed under: uncultured bacterium
Lineage: Bacteria
Description: partial 16S ribosomal RNA
Rfam family: Bacterial small subunit ribosomal RNA
Source: RNAcentral